Long non-coding RNA from Triplophysa rosa, 1490 nucleotides. RefSeq lists it as uncharacterized. The transcript has 3 exons. The record is from RefSeq and is a predicted model, not a curated record. NCBI's taxonomy places the organism in Eukaryota, Metazoa, Chordata, Actinopteri, Cypriniformes, Nemacheilidae.
AUCCCAGUCAUUACAGUGAACACAAACUAGACACAUUUAAUUCAUUAAAAGCUCAUUUUUUCACUUUUAUUGUGUGUUUAAUUGAUCAGAGUAGGUAGUAAAUGCAUAAUUCUCUCCAUUAGUUGAUAAAGUGAGUUGAGUCUGAUAUUCACACGGUUAAUAAAUCAAGUCUUGUUUAUUAUUGUAGUGCUUCACAAUAAACGGCUUCAUUUCAAUGUGUGAUGAUAUAAACUCAAGUGAUUCUAGAGCUGACUGAAGACAUGACUGUGUGUUCACACUAACACAUGUUCACUUGUUCAUAUGUUUCAUGUGUGUGUGAUUCUUUACAGAUUUUCGUCCUCCAAAUCAGAUCAAGAAGAACUCAGACACUGGUGAUGGAACAGAACUGAACAAACAGAGAUCAGAUUCAGCAGGAACUAAUGGAAAUGAAUCAACAACUGUUGUGAUGCCUUGACUGAAUGAAGCAGAAUAUGUUUGAUCAGCUGAUAGAUGCUCAACGUUACAUCAUCAACAUCUACAGUAACAAAACUGUUUUACUACCUCAUGAUCCGUCCUCUUUAAAAGAUCAACUCAUGUGUGCUGUUGAGCUCAAGUGAUAAAAGCUUUUAAAGCUAAAGUUACACGGUUUUGAUAGACAACAUAAACUUUCAUUUAUUUGUCGUUGACAUUGAUCAAUGAUCAGAAUCUGUUUAUCUUUUUAUAUUUCAUGUCUGUUACUCACUGCAUAGCAUGUUAUCACUUUGACUCUCAUGUGUUUGAUAUUGUGUGAUUAUAGACAGUAUUGAUUUAAUAUCUGAUGAUGAUGAAAUAUCAGAUAAACCUGGAGAACAUCUUCAGUCUUUCUUUAACCCGUCUCUAAUCUGCUUUAUACACUUUUAUAUAACAACUAACACCAAAAACAAGUUCAUGUUGAUGACAAUCUGUGUUUAUCAUGUGAAGAAGAUUCUAGAAAAUACACGUGAGAAACAUCUUGACCAUCAAGUGUUAGAUUGUGAUGUCUGUUCUGUUUUUAUUGUUAAAGAUUAUUUUAGUCUUUCAUUUACAGUAUCAUUUGAUUCAAUAUGUGCCUAUAUUGUGUUUUUGUAACUCAACUGUUUUUUGCUUAAGAAAAUCUGUUCUCUGAUCAGAUCUGAAUUCAGACUCUCAGUACAGAUAUAAAAAAACUUCAUGAAGCACUUGACUGAAUAACUCCUACCUUAUUGCUCUUGAAAGAAUAGCUUUGUACAAAAGCAAAAAAUGUGACACAGUUAUAAUUGUGUUGUGUUCUGCUUUGAAUGAAUCUCAUGUUUAUUUGACUGCUGAUAUCAGCUAAAUGAAAACAGUAUUGAUAAGUGUUUGCGUCUGAUCAUUUCUGUCCUCUGGUGGAUACACUGAUCAUUUAGUAAUGGCUGUUUUAACAGUAAACACAUGCUAGUUUUGUUUAACAUGCUUCAAUGUGUUUAACUAUAUACACAAUGUAUGUCAUUAUUAAUAAACAAAUAAAACGUCAA